RNAcentral lists this ribosomal RNA (252 nucleotides) under uncultured bacterium. Its description in RNAcentral is "partial 16S ribosomal RNA". It matches the Rfam family "Bacterial small subunit ribosomal RNA", at positions 525 to 776 of the family's 1533-position model. The record is from RNAcentral.
ACGAAGGGUGCAAGCGUUGUUCGGAUUUAUUGGGCGUAAAGCGCGCGCAGGCUGAUUAGUCAGCCAGAUGUGAAAUCCCAGGGCUCAACCCUGGAACUGCGUCUGGAACUGCUAAUCUAGAGUUAUAGAGGGGAGAGCGGAAUUUCACAUGUAGGGGUAAAAUCCGUAGAGAUGUGAAGGAACACCAGUGCCGAAGGGGGCUCUCUGGCUAUUAACUGACGCUGAGGCGCGAAAGCGUGGGUAGCAAACAGG